UCAACCAUUCACAGUCAGUCAUUGAAGCAUGACAUCACGAAUUCAUCUGAACUUGAACUACAAACUCUAGACGAUCAAUCGAUCGGUUCACGAGACCUUUCCACAUUGGGAGAGAAAAAAGAUGAUUAGAAAAAAAAACCUGGUGCGGUUUCUAACCACCCCUGUCGUGCGCCUCUACUGUGAGGCGGUUUCAAGGCGUCCUCGUGAAGGUAGUGGGAGCGGGUCACACAGGCGGAAAAGACCUGUGUGAAUUGUCAGAUUCGAAAGAGCAGACCUCAACUGCAACUCUUGCUAAAAUGACAACACUUGCGGCUAAAACGCCGAGCUUCGGGACUAGGCCUUAUUCCCAUGGACUCGCGGGAACAAUAGCGCUGAUUCGCCGCGGAAAGCGAGGCGCGGUCAUCAUGACUCUCCGAGCUUGUGUGUUGUUAACGGCCAGCGGAGCGGCGGUAAAUGGCAGACGCUUUCGGCUUUGAUCACGUUGGCAAUUUUAACUGCACUCUGAUAAAAUACUAAUUUUCCUUUGGACGUUGGUUAACAUUCAGCCGUGCGCCUUUUCCGGUGGCUAAAAAUCAGCGUGGAUUGUUGCUUUAUGGAUCCUUUCUCUCGUCCUUUGUCACCGUCUGUCUGUAACUCUCGGUUAUCAAAGGCAGUGACAACUCAGCGCUUGACAGGCGAAUGAGACAACCUGCCACGGAGCUCAGAGACCUUCCCAGGAUGUCGAGGCCUUUCUGGGGCUUAAUCUCAGUGUGGCGGGACGCUCUUAUGACAGCUUUUAAUUCUCUCUGGGCAACAUUCAUCAUGCACUGUCUGCUAUGGGCGCUGGAUCAAAUGUACCCCGGGAUACUGGCAUUCCAGCCGACGUGUCCCAGCCCACUUUACACCGUCACAUAUAUUCAUGGCUCUCUUUUUUAUUCAUGAGUUUGCUCGCCUUUUGUUAGACUGUCUGUGAGUGACAAGACAGCGGCCGUCUGGCCAGACUGAUCAUAGUAGAUGUAAAUGCAUGAGGAAAAGAGGAGUACACAUCAUGAUUGUGUGAAUUUAUUAGAAUGAAAACAUCAUUUUACAUUUGAA
RNAcentral lists this long non-coding RNA (1074 nucleotides) under Danio rerio (zebrafish). Its description in RNAcentral is "lncRNA si:ch211-194i10.6 (ENSDARG00000097119.2)". Lineage: Eukaryota; Metazoa; Chordata; Actinopteri; Cypriniformes; Danionidae. The record is from RNAcentral.